RNAcentral lists this ribosomal RNA (496 nucleotides) under uncultured bacterium. RNAcentral describes it as "partial 16S ribosomal RNA". It matches the Rfam family "Bacterial small subunit ribosomal RNA", at positions 28 to 506 of the family's 1533-position model. The record is from RNAcentral.
GAUGAACGCUGGCGGCGUGCCUAAUACAUGCAAGUAGAACGCUGAAGGAAGGAGCUUGCUCUUUCCGGAUGAGUUGCGAACGGGUGAGUAACGCGUAGGUAACCUGCCUGGUAGCGGGGGAUAACUAUUGGAAACGAUAGCUAAUACCGCAUAACAGUAGAUGUUGCAUGAUAUCUACUUAAAAGGUGCAAUUGCACCACUACCAGAUGGACCUGCGUUGUAUUAGCUAGUUGGUGAGGUAACGGCUCACCAAGGCGACGAUACAUAGCCGACCUGAGAGGGUGAUCAGCCACACUGGGACUGAGACACGGCCCAGACUCCUACGGGAGGCAGCAGUAGGGAAUCUUCGGCAAUGGACGGAAGUCUGACCGAGCAACGCCGCGUGAGUGAAGAAGGUUUUCGGAUCGUAAAGCUCUGUUGUAAGAGAAGAACGAGUGUGAGAGUGGAAAGUUCACACUGUGACGGUAUCUUACCAGAAAGGGACGGCUAACUACGC